GAUGAAGAACGUAGCGAAAUGCGAUAAGUAAUGUGAAUUGCAGAAUUCAGUGAAUCAUCGAAUCUUUGAACGCACAUUGCGCCUGCCAGUAUUCUGGCGGGCAUGCCUGUUCGAGCGUCAUUUCAACCAUCAAGCCCCAGGCUUGUGUUGGAGCCCUGCGGCUGCCGCAGCCUCCCAAAACCAGUGGCGGGCUCGCUAUCACACCGAGUGCAGUAGUUUACUCUUCGCUCAGGGCGUGUGGCGGGUGCUAGCCGUAAAACCCCCAACUUCUCAAGGUUGACCUCGGAUCAGGUAGGAAUACCCGCUGAACUUAAGCAUAUCAAUAAGCGGAGGA
Molecule: unclassified non-coding RNA, 334 nt
Filed under: soil metagenome
Description: partial contains 5.8S ribosomal RNA, internal transcribed spacer 2, and large subunit ribosomal RNA
Rfam family: 5.8S ribosomal RNA (bases 1-120)
Source: RNAcentral